Molecule: ribosomal RNA, 482 nt
Filed under: uncultured bacterium
Lineage: Bacteria
Description: partial 16S ribosomal RNA
Rfam family: Bacterial small subunit ribosomal RNA
Source: RNAcentral
AUUGAACGCUGGCGGCAUGCCUAACACAUGCAAGUCGAACGGUAACAGCCCGCCUGGUGCUGAAGUGUGGCGUAAGGGUGAGUAACCUACCGUUACGUGCCCAGUCGCGCGGGAUAACUACUCGUAAGACCAGCUAAUAUCGCAUACGCAAUAUGGUUGAAAGCGGGGGUGCGCACGGGUUCGCGCGAUUGGAUCGGACGGUGAAAGAUUAGGUAGUUGGCGGGGCAUAGGCUCACUAAGCUGAUGAUCUGUAACAGGUCUGAGAGGACGACCAGCCACACUGGGAGUGAGACACGGCCGAGACACCUACAGUGGGCAGCAGUGGGGAAUAUUGGACAAUGGGGGAAAGCCGGAUCCAGCAAUGCCGCGUGCAGGAAGAAGGACUUCUGGUUGGAAAGUGCUUAAGGACGGAGCGAAGCGAAGCUGGUUAAUACCGGAGGAUAAUGACGGUACCGUAAGAAUAAGCACCGGCUAACUACGUG